CUCCUCCACUCCAACUGUGUGGGGAAACCUGGGUAGAACUUAAAGUUACAAAAGUCAUUGUGCAAGCCCUGCUGUCCCCACAAGGGCUUAUAGGAAGGGGUUCGGAGCUUUUCAAGGAGGCAGGGGAAAAUUAAACUCGUGUCUCUUAAUGUGUAUUUGGUGGGAGGGGAAUGCUGCCUGAAAUAAUGCAUUGCUUCGGCGGCGGUCAGAGAUCCAUGUGACGCGGGGGCACUUUAGGGACCAUUGCUGAGGGCCUGGUUAGCAUUUGGGCAGCUGAAUCCUUCCCUUGGCGAACUCCAUACGUGCCCUCGGCGACACACAGAGGACUCCCAGAGUUGAAGAAGGGGGUGGAUGUGUGUGUGCGCACUCGCCCACGUCUCGUGUUUUACUUUUCAUUUAAGUCGUAAUAAGGAGAAAUUCGAUGACCAGCAAGGCUGGAGUCCCAUCGUCUUGUUGGGGGAGAGGGGGGAGAAGAAAAAGGUGCCUGUAACUUCAGACUGUCCAAGAUAUCGCUUAGCUCCUGCGCCCGGAAGAAAAUCCAGCGCAGGUCGGGUUCCGGCGCGCGGAAGCCCUGCGAACCCCAAAUGUGUGCGCUGAGCCGAGGCCUCUAAGCGGUAGGAGAGAAUCUGACCUCCGACAUUCUUUUCAAGACACGCGCCGGUGGACCGGGUCCUGGGAUUGGCUUACUCCCGGGCUGGACCUUGGGGUUCGCAUAUUUGAAAGCGUAAACUUGAGGAAUGACGGCGGGGUGAUGGGUAUUUUAUAGAGUGGGACUCAAUCGUGCUCAGCAACAGAUUUCUCCAAAUUCCCUUUUAAAAAGAGCCUCCCAGAGCUGUCGAAAUCUCCGCGGGGUGAAAGCUAAACUUUUGGAGUCGCUGUGUAGCCGGGUAGAGGACACGGCGGCGCGAGCCGGAAAGGCAGGUUUAAUUCGGAAAGAAGAGACUGCAGAGGAGAGGGAAGACCGUGAGUCUGCUUUCACCUAGGUUUAAAGCGAAUCAAAGACGGCUGUAAAAAGGGAAACCGGGACCAAAAACAGAUUUGGAGCCUCGAAACUCUCCAUUGAAGGUUUGGAAGAUACGUUGCUGCAGACUUGAAACCGGCUCCAAAUCCGGCCCAAACAUGGGCUGAAAAUAUGGCGCGCUAAUCUGCUGCUUCCCCUCCUCCUCAAGUUCUUUCUGACUCUUCCCACCUUUCCCAGUUUCCCUUCCAGACGUCUGCGGCUCCCCACUCCACCCCCAGGAUAGCUACUCUACAUCCCGACAAUUCCCAGCUUCUACACCCAGGAGGAGGAAUUCUGGAACCACCCAGAGCGAACUCGUGCCGGGGCGGGGUGGGGACCGGAGGAAGGUCCUGCUCCGAAUUCUCUCCAGAGCAGAAAAGAAUUCUAGAGGCUACAUGUGGGCUGCUUUCCCCCCUUCUUCCUUUUUUCCCUCGCAAACCAACAACCAAAAAGUGUUUGGUGAUGGAAAGAACACCAGUGGAAAACGGCAAAUAACAGUAUUUCCAACUCCGA
RNAcentral lists this long non-coding RNA (1513 nucleotides) under Homo sapiens (human). RNAcentral's name for it is "HSALNT0310825". The record is from RNAcentral. Lineage: Eukaryota; Metazoa; Chordata; Mammalia; Primates; Hominidae.